Molecule: ribosomal RNA, 163 nt
Filed under: Brachypodium hybridum
Lineage: Eukaryota; Viridiplantae; Streptophyta; Magnoliopsida; Poales; Poaceae
Description: 5.8S ribosomal RNA
Rfam family: 5.8S ribosomal RNA
About the family: 5.8S ribosomal RNA (5.8S rRNA) is a component of the large subunit of the eukaryotic ribosome. It is transcribed by RNA polymerase I as part of the 45S precursor that also contains 18S and 28S rRNA.
Source: RNAcentral
GMCACGACUYUCGGCAACGGAUAUYUCGGCUCUCGCAUCGAUGAAGAACGUAGCGAAAUGCGAUACCUGGUGUGAAUUGCAGAAUCCCGCGAACCAUCGAGUCUUUGAACGCAAGUUGCGCCCGAGGCCACCCGGUSGAGGGCACGCCUGCCUGGGCGUCACG